Molecule: long non-coding RNA, 410 nt
Filed under: Mytilus galloprovincialis (Mediterranean mussel)
Lineage: Eukaryota; Metazoa; Mollusca; Bivalvia; Mytilida; Mytilidae
Source: RNAcentral
CUCAAUUAAGGAUGUCUGCUGGUCAUGUUUUUGAAUUCUUGUCAUAUUUUCGAUUUUCUCAGGUUUUAUCCAUACAAAUGUAUUAAAAUAUUUUUUACACGAGACCCCACUUUUGUCUUCAUAAAUCUGUUCAAUAGAUCAUUGAUGACCAUUUGAAUUUUUGUCAUGAAAUCCUUGUUAUUUUUUCUUGGUUUAAAGGAAAAAAAAAAUUCCAAUGUUAACAAAUAGUAAAGUCUGAAGAAAACCCUUUUCCCGCCAUUUUCUAAAUGUCUCGUAUUUUGAAAACUACACACGAGACUAUCGAUUUUAUUACUUCAUUUUUUUUAAAUAUCAAAGUUGUUUUCAUUUUAAGCAAUCACAUGAAAUCCUUGUUAUUUUAAAUUAGAGCAGCAGACAUCCUUAAACUGAUU